GCCUCCAUUUGGCACUAAAUUACGAGAGAGCCACCGCGUUACCGUCCGUCCUGGUCUUUUUGGGAAAGUCCUCUGACGGAUCUGGCCCAGCGAGCAUUCACCUUUCCCCAGCUGAGAAGUACCGAGGGCUGACGUCAGCAAACGGCGAGGGAGUUAUGGCGUUUGAUGGAUCCGGGGGUUUAUUUGAAGAUGUAACGGGGGUGCAGCAAUACGAACCAUCCACUUGAUGGACCACG
This 236-nucleotide long non-coding RNA is filed under the name Elaeis guineensis (African oil palm). RNAcentral describes it as "long non-coding RNA (EGUI_LNC017580)". Lineage: Eukaryota; Viridiplantae; Streptophyta; Magnoliopsida; Arecales; Arecaceae. The record is from RNAcentral.